RNAcentral lists this ribosomal RNA (141 nucleotides) under Brassica napus (rape). Its description in RNAcentral is "rRNA 5_8S_rRNA". It matches the Rfam family "5.8S ribosomal RNA". From Rfam's summary of the family: 5.8S ribosomal RNA (5.8S rRNA) is a component of the large subunit of the eukaryotic ribosome. The record is from RNAcentral. Lineage: Eukaryota; Viridiplantae; Streptophyta; Magnoliopsida; Brassicales; Brassicaceae.
GACUCUCGGCAAUGGAUAUCUCAGCUCUCGCAUCGAUGAAGAACGUAGCAAAAUGCGAUACUUGGUGUGAAUUGCAGAAUCCCGUGAACCAUCGAGUCUUUGAACGCAAGUUGCACCGAGGGCAUGUCUGCUUGGGUGUCA